AGUUGGUCUGAGAGGACGACCAGCCACACUGGGACUGAGACACGGCCCAGACUCCUACGGGAGGCAGCAGUGGGGAAUUUUGGACAAUGGGCGCAAGCCUGAUCCAGCAAUGCCGCGUGCAGGAAGAAGGCCUUCGGGUUGUAAACUGCUUUUGUCAGGGAAGAAAUCCUCUAGGUUAAUACCCUUGGGGGGAUGACGGUACCUGAAGAAUAAGCACCGGCUAACUACGUGCCAGCAGCCGCGGUAAUACGUAGGGUGCAAGCGUUAAUCGGAAUUACUGGGCGUAAAGCGUGCGCAGGCGGCUUUGCAAGACAGAUGUGAAAUCCCCGGGCUCAACCUGGGAACUGCAUUUGUGACUGCAAGGCUAGAGUACGGUAGAGGGAUCGAUCGCGUGUAGCAGUGAAUGCGUAGAUAUGCGGAGGAACACCAAUGGCGAAGGCAAUCCCCUGGACCUGUACUGACGCUCAUGCACGAAAGCGUGGGGAG
Molecule: ribosomal RNA, 486 nt
Filed under: uncultured bacterium
Lineage: Bacteria
Description: bacterial SSU rRNA
Rfam family: Bacterial small subunit ribosomal RNA
Source: RNAcentral